Molecule: ribosomal RNA, 466 nt
Filed under: uncultured bacterium
Lineage: Bacteria
Description: partial 16S ribosomal RNA
Rfam family: Bacterial small subunit ribosomal RNA
Source: RNAcentral
CGAACGCUGGCGGCGUGCUUAACACAUGCAAGUCGAACGGAAAGGCCCUGCUUUUGUGGGGUGCUCGAGUGGCGAACGGGUGAGUAACACGUGAGUAACCUGCCCUUGACUUUGGGAUAACUUCAGGAAACUGGGGCUAAUACCGGAUAGGAGCUCCUGCUGCAUGGUGGGGGUUGGAAAGUUUCGGCGGUUGGGGAUGGACUCGCGGCUUAUCAGCUUGUUGGUGGGGUAGUGGCUUACCAAGGCUUUGACGGGUAGCCGGCCUGAGAGGGUGACCGGCCACAUUGGGACUGAGAUACGGCCCAGACUCCUACGGGAGGCAGCAGUGGGGAAUAUUGCACAAUGGGCGGAAGCCUGAUGCGGCAACGCCGCGUGCGGGAUGACGGCCUUCGGGUUGUAAACCGCUUUCGCCUGUGACGAAGCGUGAGUGACGGUAAUGGGUAAAGAAGCACCGGCUAACUACGUG